RNAcentral lists this ribosomal RNA (373 nucleotides) under Gasteracantha cancriformis. RNAcentral describes it as "partial large subunit ribosomal RNA". It matches the Rfam family "Bacterial large subunit ribosomal RNA", at positions 1859 to 2561 of the family's 2925-position model. The record is from RNAcentral. Lineage: Eukaryota; Metazoa; Arthropoda; Arachnida; Araneae; Araneidae.
CUGCUCAAUGACCAUUUUAAUAGCCGCAGAAAUUUAACUGUGCUAAGGUAGCAUAAUCAUUAGCUCUUUAAUUAAGAGCUCGUAUGAAAGGUUAAACAUUAUAUAUUCUAUAACCCUUUUAAUAAAUCAAAAUUUAAUUAAGAAUCAAAAUGUUCUUAUUAUAUAAAUAGACGAUAAGACCCUAUUGAACUUUACUUUAGUUUAACUGGGGCAGUUAACUAAUAAUAAUCUUAAUUAAUCUCUUUUUAUAAAAAUCCAAUCUAUUUGAAUUUGAAUAAGUUACCAUAGGGAUAACAGCGUAAUUUGUUUCUAAAGUUCUUAUUUAAAAACAAGAUUGCGACCUCGAUGUUGAAUUAGUGUUCCUUUUUAAAUG